GAAUUAACUACAUCGGCUGUUUUCCUACUCUCCGCAUCGACCAAUGUGGCGCUAGCUUCUAUGCGCGAAAAAUCGCUAAAAGUAAAUCGCAAAAAUAUUGUAUGGCGAAUACAAUCUAAAGGCAAAUUUCUCGAAGUGGAACACAUUAUUCGAAAAAAUAUUUGGUAGUGGUUGUGCACAAUGGUAACCACUAUUAAGGCUACCAAAUAUUUUUUCGGGAAAAGCUUUCUAUUUCAAGUAAUUCGAGUUUAGAUGCAUUUCGCCAUACAAAAUUAAAUUGAUUUACUCCUGCUGAUCAACUGUGGCUGCGUGCAAAGCGGGUAGUCCAUUCAUUGAUUUACUCCUGCUGAUCAACUGUGGCUGCGCGCAAAGCAGAUAGUCCAUUGAAAGUUCUUGACCAGCCAAACAACUUUGUCGAGGACACCAACUGUCUAAAUAAUAAGGAUCUUAAAAUAUAUGGGGUGGAAAUUAUGUCAGUGUUGCGUCUGUCUGACUCAUAUAUCGCAGGACCUUGAUUACUUGGAGAGUUGUUUAACUUUUCACGGAUCUUCCGUUUCAAAGUCGUUUGGUGUAAGGUUCUACUUGCCUAGUGGUAGUUGAAAUUUUGAAAAAUCAGGUACAUUAUAUCUAUUCAAAAAAGAAAUGUUGUAACUUUUGAAAAAGUUUUCAAAAAUGUUUACAUUUUGACUGAUAGUUUCUCAACUAGUCAAAACUUGUAGGGAACUUUUUUGAGAAAUUCUAAUCAUUUGCAAACCAUUAUAAACUUUUAAUGAAUUAACUACAUCGGCUGUUUUCCUACUCUCCGCAUCGACCAAUGUGGCGCUAGCUUCUAUGCGCGAAAAAUCGCUAAAAGUAAAUCGCAAAAAUAUUGUAUGGCGAAUAGCAUCUAAAGGCAAAUUCAUCGAAGUGGAAUACGUUAUUCGAAAAAAUAUUUGGUAGUGGUUGUGCACAAUGGUGACUACUAUUAAGCCUACCAAAUAUUUUUUCAGUAAAAGCUUUCUAUUUCAAGUAAUUCAAGUUUAGAUGCUUUUCACCAUACAAAAUAAAAUGGAUUUACUCCUGCUGAUCAACUGUGGGUGUGCGCCAAGCGGGUAGUCCAUUGGCGUCGCCCAGUGGCAAAAUCUCACGUCCAAUGGUAAAUCAGCUGUAAGUCUUUGACUUAUCAAAUAACUCUGCGAAACACACUCUCUAAAUAAUUAAGAUUUUUUAUCACUGUUAGGUCAAUUUGUCUCUUAGAUCACAGAAGUUAAUCUUAGGAUCGUAAGUGGUAUGCAAAUCCUCUGGUAUGACUUUGGUUCAAUAAAUUAUCGCACACAUCUUAAAGAGUUUUUACUUGAAUUGAUGACAUAGCAUAGAUUAUUGAAUAAAUGUUUAUCUCGACGGCGUGAUAAGUUCUAUGCCGAAAAAUUUAAAUAUCUGGCGGUGCGAAGUAAUGGAUCUCAGGGGUCUAGUCUUUGGAAUAAAAUUAGAAGAAUAUGGGUGGUACUAAGCCGAAGAUGGGUGCCGGUGUCAUUAACCUUCAUGAAGGAGUAUUCAUACUGCUGAUAGCAAUAACUUGGUUUUCCGAGCCAUUUAUCAUAUAACGGAUUUUCAAUAGCAUAAGGUUCCCCUUGAAGCAGUUAAGAUAAUGCAGUAAUAUAUUCACAAAUUCGGGCAGAUUUGUGACGUCACAACGCUAGCAGAACCCUGUAUGAAACUGAACGGGCGUUGUAACGUCACGAAAUGUAAAAGUCGAUUAUCCAAAAACAAAUCCGAAAUUUAUAUAUUUUAUUUCAUUGAAUUGAAGAACAAACCAAUAAAUUUCAAUGGUGGAAAAAAAAUUCAGAAUAACAUAAAAAUCAGAGCAGAUGUUUUAAAAUGCUGGUUGCGCGGUGAAAGGGUCGGAUUCUAGCGCGUUGUAACGUUACGCUACAAAUACGCAUUUUAACCACGUUUUCCUGAUGAUAACAAACUGUUCAAUAGGUCAAAUAUAUCAGAAAUUUUGCAAGGAAUCCGAAUAUGAGAAAAUAUUUUGAGGUUUACAAUCGUUUUUAUGAGUUAUAGUGGAAAAUCUGGCAACGAAUGCGUCAAAGUUGUAACGUCACGGUAGAAUGUGUCACCUAAAAUGAAUUUCAAUGAGAUUUUUUCAUAUCACCUUUUGACAGCUGGGUAACUGCUUGACAGCUCCGCCCCCCAGUACUAAAUGCGACGAGGGGUGAUGAAAAUGUGGAAUUUGGCUCAGUUUUCCGUGCAGAUUUAGAAUAUGGUCUUAUCUCAAUACCUAACGUCGGGCGUAGUGUACUGGGCAGCGGAUCUGGCCCUCUAUGCACUUAUCCACGGUCUUCUUUUUUCCCCGAGUUGAUUCUUCUUUUUUUCUGGAAAUGCGGUCGCUGUUUACAUAAAAUGGCACAUUCAUGAACAAGGCCCGCAGUUACCGUUUCACAUCUUGCCGUUCGUUGGCGUGUGACGUCACCGUGGACAAGUUCAUCCAGCGCACUUCCCCCGACGUACGUACGACACACGGUUUAGUAGUAAAAUCGAUUUACGCGUGUCAAAAAAUCCGAUUUUCAACUGCACGAACAAUACCAUAGGGUAUAUCUUCAAUGAUCCAUUUCUUUUCAUAUUAUUCCGGCCAAGUUAAUAAACAAAGCUCGUAUGAUAAGAGCGUGAUAUGAUUAUAGUCAAAUAUCGAGUACGAUCUGAGGUUCCCAUAUUUGCAACACCAUCGCGAUGACGAAUAAUUUCACCGUCGCCCCAUCCGCCCUUGACCUUUCGGUGUGCGCCUAAGGGUGCUAUUACAUUCUUUGCCCAGACGCCAAAUAUUUGACCACUUUUGACAGAUAAAUUUUGGCAGGUUGUUUGACUCUGCUUGUCCCUAUUCGUUUUUCGAGAGUGACAAAUAUUUUUGUUUGCCAGGUACACCUUGGUCAUAAUUUAAGUGUCAAAAGUGGUCAAAUAUUUGGCAUUGGUCAAAGAGUGUCAUACUAGCUUAAGGAGGAGUGUUGGAGUAAAGUAGUGACAGCCCCCUGGUACCAGAAUUAUAAUGACGAUGAAUGAUGAUGACUGAUGAGAUUUGUGUGAGUGUGUAUGUGUAUAAGUACCGACGAAGCAUAUUGCUGAAUUGUGUUGAUUGUUUUGUUUUAAUCAUUAGUCCGUACUACUUGUUGGAAGUUAGGUAGCGUUGAACGCUCGGGUAGCGUCGAACCUUCAGGUACGGGUUUGGAGUGUUGGAGCGAGGUAGAUUUGUUGGCGUAGGUAUGUUGAAGAUAGUCAAAUUGUAUAUACCUGGAAUGAAUAAAGAGUGUGGCGGUUGCAGAUUGAGGUAUCAGUCGGCAGCCGUCUAGUUUGAUGGAAGAUGUCUAGCGUUUUAUUUUCAUUGUAAUUUAGAAACAGUCAUCGAUGGAGCUAGCCUCGCUAUGGCCUUCAUGGCUAUGGUGGACUAGCCUCCAACAGGUUAUGGGCCCAGGAGCGUGUUCCACAGCACGUAUCGACCGGGAGAAGGAUCGGCCGCAUAAGUCGCGGAGUCGCAGCACGGGAUCCUUGGGCGGAUGGAUUGGCUGCAACGGAGGACAGGAUCCAUGGGAAUGUUGGCGAUACGGGUCAACUGGAUGACUGCUGGCUGGUCACCGGACGGAGCUCGAGGAUUGUUGGAUCGGAUGCAGCUCGGUGGUCGCAUCUGGACGAAGAGGUUGGCGAAAGGAGGAGUGAUCCGGAGGACAACAUGAAGGUGGAGCUCGGAGAUGGACCUGGUCGGAGCUCGGAACUGGUGUAGAGCUGGUGCAAGCGUCGGAGUUGGGCCACUUGCCAAGCGUUGGAGUGAGGAGGAGCUUCGAGCCAGGAGGAGGUGAUCGUGUUUCGAAGGUUGCGACGCUAAGGAGGAGUGUUGGAAGUUAGGUAGCGUUGAACGCUCGGGUAGCGUCGAACCUUCAGGUACGGGUUUGGAGUGUUGGAGCGAGGUAGAUUUGUUGGCGUAGGUAUGUUGAAGAUAGUCAAAUUGUAUAUACCUGGAAUGAAUAAAGAGUGUGGCGGUUGCAGAUUGAGGUAUCAGUCGGCAGCCGUCUAGUUUGAUGGAAGAUGUCUAGCGUUUUAUUUUCAUUGUAAUUUAGAAACAGUCAUCGAUGGAGCUAGCCUCGCUAUGGCCUUCAUGGCUAUGGUGGACUAGCCUCCAACACUACUCACUGUUUGUAAAUAGAUGUUGUCGAUAACGCAAUCGUAGAGUGUAAUUAAUUUGAUGAAUCACGAAUAUCCCGGGACGGCUCUUUGGUCGGUCUGUUCGCUUGUGAGACCGUGCGCUGGGAUUCUAACAACAGCUUUUGUAUGGUGCCAGUUUGGUGUAUCUGUUACUUUUGAUUUUGGCUAGAUACGUCGUUUGGUUUUCUCAUAUAUCAAAACGGUGUAUCUAUCAGUAAAGUUGUAAACAUCAAAAUAGUUAGAUAC
Aedes albopictus (Asian tiger mosquito) is the source of this 4416-nucleotide long non-coding RNA. RefSeq lists it as uncharacterized. The transcript has 2 exons. NCBI's taxonomy places the organism in Eukaryota, Metazoa, Arthropoda, Insecta, Diptera, Culicidae. The record is from RefSeq and is a predicted model, not a curated record.